This 933-nucleotide long non-coding RNA is filed under the name Capsella rubella. RNAcentral's name for it is "long non-coding RNA (CRUB_LNC004382)". Lineage: Eukaryota; Viridiplantae; Streptophyta; Magnoliopsida; Brassicales; Brassicaceae. The record is from RNAcentral.
UUAUAUCGGUAGACUUUGGAUAUAUGUCUACAUAAGCAAAUUGUUUUUUUUUGUCUAACCGCAUAAUCCAAACACUACAUAUUAUCCAAGAUUGAUAGCCUAAGUCGUAUAAGUUUAAUUUUUUUUUUUCCUUUUUUGCUACAGAUAUUAGAGUACAAUCUUUCAUAUAUUAAAUUUGAUAGAUGUUAGGUUAAUAUAACAACUUUGUAUAUAUUAGUAAAUACUUGGCUACUCGAAUUGGGUAUCCGAAAAUUGUAUUAAUAUUUUAAGAAGAUGAUUGCAUGCAUAUUAGGGAUUGGUUUGGUAUAAUUGAGAUGUUGAUGGAACUGUCCAUUUUCCAAACCGGGGGCUCAAGUGUUCUUAACGCAUCAGUAUCAAGUUCUACGCCAGAAGACAAAACCCCUUUUCUAGUUAUGUCUUUGUAGUUGUACAACGGGUACACACAGAAACCAUAUCACGUGUCAUCUCCCUUGGAUUGUCACCGCACGUGUGGGCUCGAAUCUCAUACUAACCACUUACUAUUCGUGUCAUGUCUAUGUUUUGCAUUCGUAACCAUUUAUUAAGGAAUCUAUACAACGUGACCAUUGUCGACUUUUCUUCUUUAUAUUUCUCGCUACUUCUUUUUUUUUUUUUUGUUAAAACUAAAUAAGUAAAUAUAGUUGCUAUGUGCUAUAUAGAAAGACAUCGUAAAUUUCUUUUUGAGGUUUCUAAAGUGAAGUCUGAGGUUUGAUUAUGUGAUCAAAUCGGAUAAAGAGGAGCCAUCAAUUUUAGGACCUUGGUCCUUGAAAGUAUACAGAUCUUUCAAGAUGAAAACCCCAUUAGUGUUUUUAUUUAUUUUAUUUUCGGGACUAAUCCUUGUCAAACUUUACUUGUGCAUGAGCUAUCUAAUGUUUCGUUUUCCAUUUUAUUUUUCUUUUGCUUUCAUGAUUUAUA